Molecule: microRNA, 23 nt
Filed under: Mus musculus (house mouse)
Lineage: Eukaryota; Metazoa; Chordata; Mammalia; Rodentia; Muridae
Description: mmu-miR-7665-5p
Source: miRBase by way of RNAcentral
AAGGGAAGGCAGGAGAAAGGCUG